Long non-coding RNA from Neoarius graeffei (lesser salmon catfish), 262 nucleotides. RefSeq lists it as uncharacterized. The transcript has 3 exons. NCBI's taxonomy places the organism in Eukaryota, Metazoa, Chordata, Actinopteri, Siluriformes, Ariidae. The record is from RefSeq and is a predicted model, not a curated record.
AGAAUGGAAGACCAUGGAGGCAUUGUGCUGAAUGUGGAAAGUGUGUGAAGCCCUCAUGGCGUCACUGUUCCUCCUGCAGUCGCUGUGUGCUUCCAGAUCACUGCUGCGGACAAACCGGCUGCUACAGCUGUGGUGAUCCUGGACACAAGCACAAAGCCUGCCCUCUCAAACACAGGAAGAAUGUCCAGAGUGCUAAAGGAGCGUCCAAACACCACAGCAAGGCAUCGAAGCGCACAGCUAUGAAAAGGAAAAUCAGAAAUAC